RNAcentral lists this ribosomal RNA (468 nucleotides) under uncultured bacterium. Its description in RNAcentral is "partial 16S ribosomal RNA". It matches the Rfam family "Bacterial small subunit ribosomal RNA", at positions 28 to 507 of the family's 1533-position model. The record is from RNAcentral.
GACGAACGCUGGCGGCGUGCUUAACACAUGCAAGUCGAACGGAAAGGCCCUGCUUUUGUGGGGUGCUCGAGCGGCGAACAGGUGAGUAACACGUGAGUAACCUGCCCUUGACUUUGGGAUAACUUCAGGAACCUGGGGCUAAUACCGGAUAGGAGCUCCUGCUGCAUGGUGGGGGUUGGAAAGUUUCGGCGGUUGGGGAUGGACUCGCGGCUUAUCAGCUUGUUGGUGGGGUAGUGGCUUACCAAGGCUUUGACGGGUAGCCGGCCUGAGAGGGUGACCGGCCACAUUGGGACUGAGAUACGGCCCAGACUCCUACGGGAGGCAGCAGUGGGGAAUAUUGCACAAUGGGCGGAAGCCUGAUGCAGCAACGCCGCGUGCGGGAUGACGGCCUUCGGGUUGUAAACCGCUUUCGCCUGUGACGAAGCGUGAGUGACGGUAAUGGGUAAAGAAGCACCGGCUAACUACGUG